RNAcentral lists this long non-coding RNA (1187 nucleotides) under Equus caballus (horse). Its description in RNAcentral is "lncRNA (ENSECAG00000050798.1)". Lineage: Eukaryota; Metazoa; Chordata; Mammalia; Perissodactyla; Equidae. The record is from RNAcentral.
UCCUAAUUACAUCAAGGUAAAAAGACUUUCUCCAAUGCAUAUAUUAGUAAACCCAGUAAAAGAAAAUGGCAAAGAAAAAAUAUUAAGGGCAGCAAGGCAGAAUAAAAUAACCCACAAAAGAACCCCUAUCAGGCUUUCAGCAGAUUUCUCAGCAGAAACCUUACAGCCUAGGAGAGAAUAGAAUGAUAUAUUCAAAAUACUGAAAGACAAAAACUUUCAGCCAAGAAGAGUCUAUCCAGUGAAACUAUGCUUCAAAUACAAUGGAGAAAUAAAAACUUCACCAGAUAAACAAAAGUUGAGGGAGUUCAUCACCACAAGAUCCCCCCAACACAGAAAUACCAAGAAGGCCCUCAUAUCUGAAAAAAAAAGGAAGGGUUUACAAAGCCUUGGGCAAGGAGAUAAACAGACAGACAAAAUCAGAAAAUUGCAGGUCUCUAUCAGAACAGGUUAGCAAACACUUAAUUAUAACAUUAAAGAUAAAGGGAAGGAAAGCAUCAAAAAUAACUAUAAUCACUUCAUUUUAACCACAAACACAAAACACAAAAUGGAAUAAGUUGUGACAACAAUAAAUUAGAUGGGGAAGAGAAAAGGGAUGGAACCUACUUAGACUAAGGAGAUAAGAGGCUAUCAGAAAAUGGACUAUCUCAUCUAUGAGAUCUUUUACACAAACCUUACAGUAACCACUAAACAAAAAAUCAGAACAGAGACACAAAUGAUAAACAAAGAUAAAACUUAGAAAACCAUCAUAGAGAAUCACCAAACUGAAUUGGGAGUGGGAAAUACACAGGACAAGAAAGAAGGGAAAUACAGAACAAUGGAAAAUAAGUGAUAAAAUGGCAGUACUAAGCCCUCAUAUAUCAAUAAUCACUUUGUGUAAACAGAUUGAAUUCUCCAAUCAAAAGACACAGAGUGCUAGGAUGGAUUGAAAAACAAGACCCAACAAUACUAUGCUGCCUCCAGGAAAUGCAUCUCAGCUCUAAAGACAAACAGAGUUUCAAAGUGAAGUGAUGGAAGAAGUUACUCCAAAAAAAUGACAAACAAAAGAAAGUAGUAUAUAAUGAUAAAAUGGACACUCCAUCAACAGGACAUAACACUUAUGAAUAUAUAUGCACCAAACACGGGAGCACCAAAGUACGUAAAGCAACUAUUAACAGACAUAACAGGAGAAAUUAACAGCAACAUAAUAA